This 618-nucleotide long non-coding RNA is filed under the name Homo sapiens (human). RNAcentral describes it as "FKBP14 antisense RNA 1". Lineage: Eukaryota; Metazoa; Chordata; Mammalia; Primates; Hominidae. The record is from RNAcentral.
GCAACUGAUGCAUCUUCUAACCAGGCUGGGAACACAACACGCGCACACGCGCACACACACACGCACGCACCCACCCCACCCGGCUGCCGGACGCAAGCGUAAGUCAAGGACUUGCAUGCUAGAAUCAGACAGAAAAUCCAGAAAAGCCACGUUAUUUAACAGAACCCUACAAGGUCAGCUUUGAGUCAAAGCAGGACGGAGCCCUGACAGCAAUGUUUGCUACGGCCUCCCUCUGCAGUCAGCCUAAAGCAAGGAGCUGGAGGUAGAUGAGGCAAAGGUAAAGGAGACCAAAACAGUAUUUUAAAGAAAAAAUCAUUUAUCUUCAAAUAGGCUCCAAACCUAAGAUGGUGUAUACUGUUAGAGGACAAGAACCUGCUUCUAGCCAUCUUUGCGUCUCCAGGACCUGACUUGUGACCAUUCAAUAAGAGUUUGAUAGAUGGACAGACUAAUGAAUAGAUGAAGAUGAUUAGAAGCCAAAAUUUCUGAAUCUUCCUAGCACCCAGAACAUGGCUUAACAUCAAGGAAAUGCUCACUAAAUACUGUCAUAAUGGAAUGAAUGGAACCGAUGCCUAAUUGAAAAUCAUUAGGCUGUAAACCAUUUCCAUGUUCCAAUUUCUU